Non-coding RNA from Triticum aestivum (bread wheat), 135 nucleotides. The record is from Rfam. NCBI's taxonomy places the organism in Eukaryota, Viridiplantae, Streptophyta, Magnoliopsida, Poales, Poaceae.
CAAAUACUCCCUCCGUCCAGAAAUACUUGUCAUCAAAAUGGAUAAAAGGAAAUGUAUCUAGACAUAUUUUAGUUUUAGGUACAUCUCUUUUUAUCCAUUUUGAUGACAAGUAUUUUCGGACGGAGGGAGUAGAAA